UAGGGAAUCUUCCACAAUGGACGCAAGUCUGAUGGAGCAACGCCGCGUGAGUGAAGAAGGUUUUCGGACCGUAAAGCUCUGUUGUUGGUGAAGAAGGAUAGAGGUAGUAACUGGCCUUUAUUUGACGGUAAUCAACCAGAAAGUCACGGCUAACUACGUGCCAGCAGCCGCGGUAAUCGUAGGUGGCAAGCGUUGUCCGGAUUUAUUGGGCGUAAAGCGAGCGCAGGCGGAAGAAUAAGUCUGAUGUGAAAGCCCUCGGCUUAACCGAGGAAUUGCAUCGGAAACUGUUUUCUUGAGUGCAGAAGAGGAGAGUAGAAACUCCA
This 323-nucleotide ribosomal RNA is filed under the name uncultured bacterium. Its description in RNAcentral is "partial 16S ribosomal RNA". It matches the Rfam family "Bacterial small subunit ribosomal RNA", at positions 355 to 672 of the family's 1533-position model. The record is from RNAcentral.